This 140-nucleotide transfer-messenger RNA is filed under the name Pseudomonadales bacterium. Its description in RNAcentral is "partial transfer-messenger RNA". It matches the Rfam family "transfer-messenger RNA", at positions 228 to 374 of the family's 374-position model. Rfam says of the family: Bacterial tmRNA, also known as 10Sa RNA or SsrA, is named for its dual tRNA and mRNA-like properties. Its role is to liberate the mRNA from a stalled ribosome. The record is from RNAcentral. Lineage: Bacteria; Pseudomonadati; Pseudomonadota; Gammaproteobacteria; Pseudomonadales.
AACGGCUAAAACUUAUACAGCUCGCUCCAAGCACCCUGCCACUCGGGCGGCGCGGAGUUAACUAAGUAGAGAUGGCUAAGCAUGUAGAACCGAUAGCGGAGGACUGGCGGACGGGGGUUCAAAUCCCCCCGGCUCCACCA